Mugil cephalus (flathead mullet) is the source of this 1247-nucleotide long non-coding RNA. RefSeq lists it as uncharacterized. The record is from RefSeq and is a predicted model, not a curated record. NCBI's taxonomy places the organism in Eukaryota, Metazoa, Chordata, Actinopteri, Mugiliformes, Mugilidae. The transcript has 3 exons.
AGAAUGUAUUGUAUGCUGAUAGUAUUUAGGUUAUUUGUUUCACAUUUACCUCCACAAUGAACUGAGCAUAGCUUUAUAGCUCACAAUCCUUACUUCAUCAGAUGUGAUUGAAUUACAUCAUGUGAUUGAAUUAUACCUCAGCUUGCAUCAUGCUUGCUGCUUCUUUUGCCAGUUCCUUCUUUUUAUGCUUAACAUUGACAUCAGUGUCAGGAGAACAAGACUCACAUGUACACUCUUGUGAAAAUAAUGUUACUAAACAGUGAGCAGUAAUAUCUAGACUUUUAAAGGCCUUGCACGAAUAGGACGUUGGGUUGAAUUAUCAUACAAAUAAACCAUCCAAUACUGGCACUAAGCCAUUAGAACGUACUGUAGUGACACCAAUUGGCUCAAUAAACAAAUAUGGAACAGUUAAAACUAAGGAAAUAUGAGAAAUAAAUAACAUCAACCAUCUUGUGACAAUACAGUGUUCUGAUCUUCUAGACCUGGCUAAUGCAUUUGGUUCAGUUCCUCACAGUUUGUUAUGGGAAGCUUUUGAUUUUGAAGGGAAAGGCGGAACUAAAGUGUCUCAGCGGGUUUCCAGUCGGACCACUUAGAGCGGCGCACACUAAGCGAGUGAAGAUCAAAUCACAUUUCGAUCAAACAACAUGACAACUGAAGUUUAUAGGCAGCAAUGAUGGUGGACUAGAUGAUCCAGAUGAGGCACAGACAGAAAAUGAAGAGGCAGCUGCAAGUAGAGAGGGAUCCAGAGGAGUUAGGUGAAGAGGUCAACAAUGAAAGUGAUGGAACAGAGCAGGAAGAAAGGACAGAUGAGUCAGGCAGAAGAACAAAUGCAGACUGAGAGACAGGCAGAGAAUAGUGCUUCCUCAUCUACAUGCCCUGAACCAGCAGAUAUCAGCCAAUGUCAGCAAGAAGCACCAGCACAGCCAAAGUAGAAACUGUUUCCAAGGACCUUGAUGGGGGGACAGGGGAAGAAGCUUUAAAGUAGCCUGGUAUGACAUUCAUCCUUGGCUGGAGUAAUCCAAAAUGCUGGACUCGUCGUAUUGUUAUGCCUGCAGACAUUUCAGCCCCUCUAACAGCCAAGAGACAGUUUUUAACUGGAAAAAGGCAACAUACAAUGAGGGAGGAUUUGCAGUUCAUUCACGUCUGAGCACCAAUUUCUUAGUUUACAAAAGUUACAAAUUAUUAUGUUGCUGUUUUUCCGUCAAUGUUUUAUUUAACUACUCAAUUUAAAUUGUUGACAUUGUGAA